RNAcentral lists this ribosomal RNA (462 nucleotides) under uncultured Staphylococcus sp. RNAcentral describes it as "partial 16S ribosomal RNA". Lineage: Bacteria; Bacillati; Bacillota; Bacilli; Caryophanales; Staphylococcaceae. The record is from RNAcentral.
CACGUAGUUAGCCGUGGCUUUCUGAUUAGGUACCGUCAAGACGUGCAUAGUUACUUACACAUUUUGUUCUUCCCUAAUAACAGAGUUUUUACGAUCCGAAGACCUUCAUCACUCACGCGGCGUUGCUCCGUCAGGCUUUCGCCCAUUGCGGAAGAUUCCCUACUGCUGCCUCCCGUAAGAGUCUGGACCGUGUCUCAGUUCCGGUGUGGCCGAUCACCCUCUCAGGUCCGGCUACGCAUCGUUGCCUUGGUAAGCCGUUACCUUACCAACUAGCUAAUGCGGCGCGGAUCCAUCUAUAAGUGACAGCAAGACCGUCUUUCACUGUUGAACCAUGCGUUCAACAUUGUUAUCCGGUAUUACGCCUUCCCGGUUUCCCGAAGUUACUCCCUAGUCUUAUAGGGUUAGGUUAUCCGACGUUGUUACUCCGACCCCGUCCGCCGCUUAACGUCAGAGGAGCAAGCU